UCCUUGAUGACCUUGAUGAUGAGGACUAU
Molecule: non-coding RNA, 29 nt
Filed under: Mus musculus (house mouse)
Lineage: Eukaryota; Metazoa; Chordata; Mammalia; Rodentia; Muridae
Source: RNAcentral